UACGGAGGGUGCAAGCGUUAUCCGGAAUCAUUGGGUUUAAAGGGUCCGCAGGCGGACUUAUAAGUCAGUGGUGAAAGCCUACAGCUUAACUGUAGAACUGCCAUUGAUACUGUAAGUCUUGAAUAUGGUCGAAGUGGGCGGAAUAUGACAUGUAGCGGUGAAAUGCAUAGAUAUGUCAUAGAACACCGAUAGCGAAGGCAGCUCACUAGGCCAUUAUUGACGCUCAGGGACGAAAGCGUGGGGAGCAAACAGG
RNAcentral lists this ribosomal RNA (253 nucleotides) under uncultured bacterium. RNAcentral describes it as "partial 16S ribosomal RNA". It matches the Rfam family "Bacterial small subunit ribosomal RNA", at positions 524 to 776 of the family's 1533-position model. The record is from RNAcentral.